GGGAAUUAGCUCAGUUGGUAGAGCAUCUGCUUUGCAAGCAGAGGGUCAUCGGUUCGAAUCCGACAUUCUCC
RNAcentral lists this transfer RNA (71 nucleotides) under uncultured Succinivibrio sp. It matches the Rfam family "tRNA". From Rfam's summary of the family: Transfer RNA (tRNA) molecules are approximately 80 nucleotides in length. Lineage: Bacteria; Pseudomonadati; Pseudomonadota; Gammaproteobacteria; Aeromonadales; Succinivibrionaceae. The record is from RNAcentral.